GAUGAACGCUAGCUACAGGCUUAACACAUGCAAGUCGAGGGGUAACGAGAGGAAAGCUUGCUUUCCUUGUCGACGACCGGCGCACGGGUGAGUAACGCGUAUCCAACCUGCCCCCAACUAGGGAAUAACCUUGCGAAAGUAAGACUAAUACCCUAUAAUUUCCUCAGAUGUCAUCUGACGAGGAAUAAAGAUUUAUCGGUUGUGGAUGGGGAUGCGUCUGAUUAGCUUGUUGGCGGGGUAACGGCCCACCAAGGCAACGAUCAGUAGGGGUUCUGGGAGGAAGGUCCCCCACAUUGGAACUGAGACACGGUACAAACUCCUACGGGAGGCAGCAGUGAGGAAUAUUGGUCAAUGGGCGGAAGCCUGAACCAGCCAAGUAGCGUGCAGGAUGACGGCCCUAUGGGUUGUAAACUGCUUUUAUACAGGGAUAAAGUUAGCCACGUGUGGCUAUUUGUAGGUACUGUAUGAAUAAGGACCGGCUAAUUCCGUGCCAGCCGCCGCCGUAA
Molecule: ribosomal RNA, 506 nt
Filed under: uncultured bacterium
Lineage: Bacteria
Description: partial 16S ribosomal RNA
Rfam family: Bacterial small subunit ribosomal RNA
Source: RNAcentral